GCGAGGCUAUUGCUAUCGGGGUCCGAUUCAGCCAUGCUAGUUGUACGGGUUUAGACCCGUAGCAAAUAGCUCCGUAACACGUGGUCAAACUACCCUCUGGACCGGAAUACCCUCGGGAAACUGAGGCUAAUUCCGGAUACUGCUUUCAUGUUGGAACACAGAAAGUCGGAAACGGUCCGCCGCCGGAGGACGUGACUGCGGCCGAUUAGGUAGACGGUGGGGUAACGGCCCACCGUGCCGAUAAUCGGUACGGGUUGUGAGAGCAAGAACCCGGAGACGGUAUCUGAGACAAGAUACCGGGCCCUACGGGGCGCAGCAGGCGCGAAACCUUUACACUGCACGCCAGUGCGAUAAGGGGACCCCGAGUGCGAGGGCAUACAGUCCUCGCUUUUCGUGACCGUAAGAAGGUCUCAGAAUAAGAGCUGGGCAAGACCGGUGCCAGCCGCCGCGGUAAUACCGGCAGCUCGAGUGAUAGCCACUAUUAUUGGGCCUAAAGCGUCCGUAGCCGGCCGAACAGGUCCGUCGGGAAAUCCACCCGCUCAACGGGUGGACGUCCGGCGGAAACCAGUCGGCUUGGGGCCGGGAGACCAGAGAGGUACGUCCGGGGUAGGAGUGAAAUCCCGUAAUCCUGGACGGACCGCCGGUAGCGAAAGCGUCUCUGGAGAACGGACCCGACGGUGAGGGACGAAAGCUUGGGUCUCGAACCGGAUUAGAUACCCGGGUAGUCCAAGCUGUAAACGAUGCUCGCUAGGUGUGGCGUUGGCUACGAGCCAGCGCUGUGCCGUAGGGAAGCCGAGAAGCGAGCCGCCUGGGAAGUACGUCCGCAAGGAUGAAACUUAAAGGAAUUGGCGGGGGAGCACUACAACCGGAGGAGCCUGCGGUUUAAUUC
RNAcentral lists this ribosomal RNA (889 nucleotides) under Halococcus thailandensis. Its description in RNAcentral is "bacterial SSU rRNA". It matches the Rfam family "Archaeal small subunit ribosomal RNA", at positions 18 to 908 of the family's 1478-position model. Lineage: Archaea; Methanobacteriati; Methanobacteriota; Halobacteria; Halobacteriales; Halococcaceae. The record is from RNAcentral.